This 253-nucleotide ribosomal RNA is filed under the name uncultured bacterium. Its description in RNAcentral is "partial 16S ribosomal RNA". It matches the Rfam family "Bacterial small subunit ribosomal RNA", at positions 524 to 776 of the family's 1533-position model. The record is from RNAcentral.
UACGGAGGGUGCAAGCGUUAUCCGGAUUUACUGGGCUUAAAGGGUGUGUAGGCGGGUUUUUAAGUCAGUGGUGAAAUCUCCGGGCUCAACCCGGAAACUGCCAUUGAUACUAUUAGUCUUGAAUUUUGUUGAGGUAGGCGGAAUAAGUCAUGUAGCGGUGAAAUGCUUAGAUAUGACUUAGAACACCAAUUGCGAAGGCAGCUUGCUAAACAAACAUUGACGCUGAGGCACGAAAGCGUGGGGAUCAAACAGG